GCUCACUGGUCGAGUCGGCCUGCGCGGAAGAUGUAACGGGGCUAAACCAUGCACCGAAGCUGCGGCAGCGACGCUUAUGCGUUGUUGGGUAGGGGAGCGUUCUGUAAGCCUGCGAAGGUGGCCUGUGAGGGCUGCUGGAGGUAUCAGAAGUGCGAAUGCUGACAUAAGUAACGAUAAAGCGGGUGAAAAGCCCGCUCGCCGGAAGACCAAGGGUUCCUGUCCAACGUUAAUCGGGGCAGGGUGAGUCGACCCCUAAGGCGAGGCCGAAAGGCGUAGUCGAUGGGAAACAGGUUAAUAUUCCUGUACUUGGUGUUACUGCGAAGGGGGGACGGAGAAGGCUAUGUUAGCCGGGCGACGGUUGUCCCGGUUUAAGCAUGUAGGCGGAGGUUCCAGGUAAAUCCGGUACCUUUUAACGCUGAGGUGUGAUGACGAGGCACUACGGUGCUGAAGUAACAAAUGCCCUGCUUCCAGGAAAAGCCUCUAAGCAUCAGGUAACAUCAAAUCGUACCCCAAACCGACACAGGUGGUCAGGUAGAGAAUACCAAGGCGCUUGAGAGAACUCGGGUGAAGGAACUAGGCAAAAUGGUGCCGUAACUUCGGGAGAAGGCACGCUGGUGUGUAGGUGAAGUCCCUGCGGAUGGAGCUGAGACCAGUCGAAGAUACCAGCUGGCUGCAACUGUUUAUUAAAAACACAGCACUGUGCAAACACGAAAGUGGACGUAUACGGUGUGACGCCUGCCCGGUGCCGGAAGGUUAAUUGAUGGGGUUAUCCGUAAGGAGAAGCUCUUGAUCGAAGCCCCGGUAAACGGCGGCCGUAACUAUAACGGUCCUAAGGUAGCGAAAUUCCUUGUCGGGUAAGUUCCGACCUGCACGAAUGGCGUAAUGAUGGCCAGGCUGUCUCCACCCGAGACUCAGUGAAAUUGAACUCGCUGUGAAGAUGCAGUGUACCCGCGGCAAGACGGAAAGACCCCGUGAACCUUUACUAUAGCUUGACACUGAACAUUGAGCCUUGAUGUGUAGGAUAGGUGGGAGGCUUUGAAGCGUGGACGCCAGUCUGCGUGGAGCCAACCUUGAAAUACCACCCUUUAAUGUUUGAUGUUCUAACGUAGGCCCCUGACCGGGGUUGCGGACAGUGUCUGGUGGGUAGUUUGACUGGGGCGGUCUCCUCCCAAAGAGUAACGGAGGAGCACGAAGGUUAGCUAAUCCUGGUCGGACAUCAGGAGGUUAGUGCAAUGGCAUAAGCUAGCUUGACUGCGAGCGUGACGGCGCGAGCAGGUGCGAAAGCAGGUCAUAGUGAUCCGGUGGUUCUGAAUGGAAGGGCCAUCGCUCAACGGAUAAAAGGUACUCCGGGGAUAACAGGCUGAUACCGCCCAAGAGUUCAUAUCGACGGCGGUGUUUGGCACCUCGAUGUCGGCUCAUCACAUCCUGGGGCUGAAGUAGGUCCCAAGGGUAUGGCUGUUCGCCAUUUAAAGUGGUACGCGAGCUGGGUUUAGAACGUCGUGAGACAGUUCGGUCCCUAUCUGCCGUGGGCGCUGGAGAAUUGAGGGGGGCUGCUCCUAGUACGAGAGGACCGGAGUGGACGCAUCACUGGUGUUCGGGUUGUCAUGCCAAUGGCACUGCCCGGUAGCUAAAUGCGGAAGAGAUAAGUGCUGAAAGCAUCUAAGCACGAAACUUGCCCCGAGAUGAGUUCUCCCUGAGACUUUAAGUCUCCUGAAGGAACGUUAAAGACGAUGACGUUGAUAGGCCGGGUGUGUAAGCGCAGCGAUGCGUUGAGCUAACCGGUACUAAUGAACCGUGAGGCUUAACCUU
This 1809-nucleotide ribosomal RNA is filed under the name Klebsiella pneumoniae. RNAcentral describes it as "partial 23S ribosomal RNA". It matches the Rfam family "Bacterial large subunit ribosomal RNA", at positions 1140 to 2925 of the family's 2925-position model. The record is from RNAcentral. Lineage: Bacteria; Pseudomonadati; Pseudomonadota; Gammaproteobacteria; Enterobacterales; Enterobacteriaceae.